AUCAAAAACAUAGUCGGCAGAUGAACUAAAUUUUUAUUGUCGAUAUCUUCUGCCCGGUGUUUAUAUAAACGGCCGCAGUACCUUGACUGUGCUAAGGUAGCAUAAUCAAUUGGCUAUUAAUUGUAGUCUAGUAUGAAUGAAGUAAUGAAUAGUAGCUAUAAUAAAAAAUAUUAUUUUAAUUUAAUGAACUGGUGAAAAUACCAGUAUAUAGAAAAAAGGCGAGAAGACCCUUAGAGUUUUUGAAAUAAAGAUUGUUUAAGACUUUAAUUUAGACUACUAUUAAAGUAAUUAUACAAUACACUUUUUUGUUGGGGCGACAAGAAAGCAAUAUAACCUUUCUAUUGACACUAAAAGUGGUAUUAGAUCUGACGAUAUUAUUAUGAAUGACUAAACUACCUGAGGGAUAACAGCAUAAUGAUAAAUAUUAGUUUGUGACCUCGAUGUUGGACUAGGGACUUGCACACUAACCGUGAUAAAAGCUUGUUCUGUUUCGAACAAUAAACCCC
This 506-nucleotide ribosomal RNA is filed under the name Physella acuta. RNAcentral's name for it is "partial 16S ribosomal RNA". It matches the Rfam family "Bacterial large subunit ribosomal RNA", at positions 1806 to 2596 of the family's 2925-position model. Lineage: Eukaryota; Metazoa; Mollusca; Gastropoda; Physidae. The record is from RNAcentral.